CCUACGGGUGGCAGCAGUUAGGAAUAUUGGUCAAUGGGCGCGAGCCUGAUCCAGCCAAGUCGCGUGAAGGAUGACUGCUCUAUGGGUUGUAAACUUCUUUUAUAUAGGAAUAAAGUGAGGCACGUGUGCCUUUUUGUCUGUACUUUAUACAUCAGCAUCGGCUAACUCAGUACCCGCAGCCGCGGUAAGACGGAGGAUUCGAGCGUUAUCCGGAUGUAUUGGGUUUAAAGGGUGCGUAGAUGGGUAGUUAAGUCAGUUGUGAAAGUUUGCGGCUCAACCAUAAAAUUGCAUUUGAAACUGGCAGUCUUGAGUACAGUUGAGGUAGGCGGAAGGCGUGGUGUAGCGGUGAAAUGCUUAGAUAUCACGAAGAACUCCGAUUGCGAAGGCAGCUUACUAAACUACCACUGACAGUGAUGCUCGAAAGUGUGGGGAUCAAACAGGAUUAGAUACCCGAGUAGUC
This 460-nucleotide ribosomal RNA is filed under the name uncultured bacterium. Its description in RNAcentral is "partial 16S ribosomal RNA". It matches the Rfam family "Bacterial small subunit ribosomal RNA", at positions 338 to 795 of the family's 1533-position model. The record is from RNAcentral.